RNAcentral lists this ribosomal RNA (451 nucleotides) under Xenophyes rhachilophus. RNAcentral describes it as "partial large subunit ribosomal RNA". Lineage: Eukaryota; Metazoa; Arthropoda; Insecta; Hemiptera; Peloridiidae. The record is from RNAcentral.
GUCCUCUAGGUUAAAAUAUUUUAGGUCAGGCCUGCUCUAUGAAUAUUUUUAAUGGCUGCGGUAUUUUGACCGUGCAAAGGUAGCAUAAUAAUUAGUCUUUUAAAUGAAGGCUUGAAUGAAUGGUUUCACGAAAGAUUGACUCUUUAAUUUGGAUUAUUUCUUGAAUUUAAUAAUUAGGUUAGAAAGCCUGUAUGGGUUAGGGGGACGAGAAGACCCUAUAGAACUUUAAAUAGUGGGAAUGUUAUUUUAUUUGGUUUAAUAACUAUAUUGGAAUUAGUAUUUGUAUUUUAUUUUGGGUUGGGGUGAUUAGGGAAUUUUUAUAACUUCCUUGUUUUUUUUAACUCUAAUUAAUUAUAUUUUGAUCCUUAUGUUAAGAUUAUAAGAUGAAGUUACCUUAGGGGUAACAGCAUAAUUUAGUUGUGGAGUUCAUAUCGAUAACUUGGGAUUGUGA